GAUGAACGCUAGCGGCAGGCCUAAUACAUGCAAGCCGAACGGCAAGUUUGAUAGCAAUAUUGGACCUAGAGUGGCGCAAGGGUGCGUAACACGUAUGCAACCUGCCCGCGACAGGAGGAUAGCUCCCCGAAAGGGGAAUUAACCCUCCAUAACACCAUGAGAAGGCAUCUGAUUAUGGUUAAACCGCAAGGGGUCGCGGAUGGGCAUGCGGUUGAUUAGCUAGUUGGCGGGGUAAAGGCCCACCAAGGCGGUGAUCAAUAGGGGUUCUGAGAGGAAGGUCCCCCACACUGGCACUGGGAUACGGGCCAGACUCCUACGGGAGGCAGCAGUAGGGAAUAUUGGACAAUGGUUGCAAGACUGAUCCAGCCAUGCCGCGUGCAGGAAGAAGGCCUUCUGGGUCGGAAACUGCUUUUUCCUGUGGAUAAAAUACCCGUGCGCGGGGAAUUGAAGGUAACAGGGGAAUAAGCCACGGCUAACUACGUG
This 483-nucleotide ribosomal RNA is filed under the name uncultured bacterium. Its description in RNAcentral is "partial 16S ribosomal RNA". It matches the Rfam family "Bacterial small subunit ribosomal RNA", at positions 28 to 507 of the family's 1533-position model. The record is from RNAcentral.